UAUAGUAGUGGGGGACAUAUUGUUUUUGCCCUGUCUGUUUGGUCUGUCUGUUGGUCUGUCUGUUUGCGCCAACUUUAACAUUUUGCAAUAACUUUUGCUAUAUUGAAGAUAGCAACUUCAUAUUUGGCAUGCAUGUGUAUCUCAUGAAGCUGCACAUUUUGAGUGGUGAAAGGUCAAGGUCAAGGUCAUCCUUCAAGGUCAGAGGUCAAAUAUAUGUGGCCAAAAUCGCUCAUUUUAUGAAUACUUUUGCAAUAUUGAAGAUAGCAACUUGAUAUUUGGCAUGCAUGUGUAUCUCAUGGAGCUGCACAUUUUGAGUGGUGAAAGGUCAAGGUCAAGGUCAUCUUUCAAGGUCAGAGGUCAAUUAUAUGUGGCCAAAAUCGCUCAUUUUAUGAAUACUUUUGCAAUAUUGAAGAUAGCAACUUGAUAUUUGGCAUGCAUGUGCAUCUCAUGGAGCUGCACAUUUUGAGUGGUGAAAGGUCAAGGUCAAGGUCAUCCUUCAAGGUCAGAGGUCAAAUAUAUGUGGCCCAAAUCGCUUAUUUUAUGAAUACUUUUGCAAUAUUGAAGAUAGCAACUUGAUAUUUGGCAUGCAUGUGUAUCUCAUGGAGCUGCACAUUUUGAGUGGUGAAAGGUCAAGGUCAAGGUCAUCCUUCAAGGUCAGAGGUCAAAUAUAUGUGGCCAAAAUCGCUCAUUUUAUGAAUACUUUUGCAAUAUUGAAGAUAGCAACUUGAUAUUUGGCAUGCAUGUGUAUCUCAUGGAGCUGCACAUUUUGAGUGGUGAAAGGUCAAGGUCAAGGUCAUCUUUCAAGGUCAGAGGUCAAUUAUAUGUGGCCAAAAUCGCUCAUUUUAUGAAUACUUUUGCAAUAUUGAAGAUAGCAACUUGAUAUUUGGCAUGCAUGUGCAUCUCAUGGAGCUGCACAUUUUGAGUGGUGAAAGGUCAAGGUCAAGGUCAUCCUUCAAGGUCAGAGGUCAAAUAUAUGUGGCCCAAAUCGCUUAUUUUAUGAAUACUUUUGCAAUAUUGAAGAUAGCAACUUGAUAUUUGGCAUGCAUGUGUAUCUCAUGGAGCUGCACAUUUUGAGUGGUGAAAGGUCAAGGUCAAGGUCAUCCUUCAAGGUCAGAGGUCAAAUAUAUGUGGCCAAAAUCGCUCAUUUUAUGAAUACUUUUGCAAUAUUGAAGAUAGCAACUUGAUAUUUGGCAUGCAUGUGUAUCUCAUGGAGCUGCACAUUUUGAGUGGUGAAAGGUCAAGGUCAAGGUCAUCUUUCAAGGUCAGAGGUCAAUUAUAUGUGGCCAAAAUCGCUCAUUUUAUGAAUACUUUUGCAAUAUUGAAGAUAGCAACUUGAUAUUUGGCAUGCAUGUGCAUCUCAUGGAGCUGCACAUUUUGAGUGGUGAAAGGUCAAGGUCAAGGUCAUCCUUCAAGGUCAGAGGUCAAAUAUAUGUGGCCCAAAUCGCUUAUUUUAUGAAUACUUUUGCAAUAUUGAAGAUAGCAACUUGAUAUUUGGCAUGCAUGUGUAUCUCAUGGAGCUGCACAUUUUGAGUGGUGAAAGGUCA
Molecule: long non-coding RNA, 1544 nt
Organism: Dreissena polymorpha
Lineage: Eukaryota; Metazoa; Mollusca; Bivalvia; Myida; Dreissenidae
Exons: 3
Source: RefSeq, a predicted model, not a curated record